RNAcentral lists this transfer RNA (65 nucleotides) under Eupatorus hardwickei. Its description in RNAcentral is "tRNA-Ile". The record is from RNAcentral. Lineage: Eukaryota; Metazoa; Arthropoda; Insecta; Coleoptera; Scarabaeidae.
AAUGAAGUGUCUGAAUAAAGAAUUAUUUUGAUAGAAUAAAAAAUGUGAUCCUAUCACCUUCAUUA